GUGCCAGCMMGCCGCGGUAAUACGUAGGGUGCGAGCGUUGUCCGGAAUUACUGGGCGUAAAGAGUUCGUAGGCGGUUUGUCGCGUCGUUUGUGAAAACCCGGGGCUCAACUUCGGGCUUGCAGGCGAUACGGGCAGACUUGAGUGUUUCAGGGGAGACUGGAAUUCCUGGUGUAGCGGUGAAAUGCGCAGAUAUCAGGAGGAACACCGGUGGCGAAGGCGGGUCUCUGGGAAACAACUGACGCUGAGGAACGAAAGCGUGGGUAGCAAACAGGAUUAGAUACCCUGGUAGUCCACGCCGUAAACGGUGGGCGCUAGGUGUGGGUUCCUUCCACGGGAUCUGUGCCGUAGCUAACGCAUUAAGCGCCCCGCCUGGGGAGUACGGCCGCAAGGCUAAAACUCAAAGGAAUUGACGGGGCCCGCACAAGCGGCGGAGCAUGUGGAUUAAUUCGAUGCAACGCGAAGAACCUUACCUGGGUUUAACAUACACCAGACAGCUGUAGAGAUACGGUUUCCCUUGUGGUUGGUGUACAGGUGGUGCAUGGCUGUCGUCAGCUCGUGUCGUGAGAUGUUGGGUUAAGUCCCGCAACGAGCGCAACCCUUGUCUUAUGUUGCCAGCACGUGAUGGUGGGGACUCGUAAGAGACUGCCGGGGUCAACUCGGAGGAAGGUGGGGACGACGUCAAGUCAUCAUGCCCCUUAUGUCCAGGGCUUCACACAUGCUACAAUGGCCAGUACAGAGGGCUGCGAGACCGUGAGGUGGAGCGAAUCCCUUAAAGCUGGUCUCAGUUCGGAUCGGGGUCUGCAACUCGACCCCGUGAAGUCGGAGUCGCUAGUAAUCGCAGAUCAGCAACGCUGCGGUGAAUACGUUCCCGGGCCUUGCACACACCGCCCGUC
RNAcentral lists this ribosomal RNA (894 nucleotides) under uncultured organism. RNAcentral describes it as "SSU rRNA". It matches the Rfam family "Bacterial small subunit ribosomal RNA", at positions 505 to 1398 of the family's 1533-position model. The record is from RNAcentral.